This is a long non-coding RNA of Arachis ipaensis, 400 nucleotides long. RefSeq lists it as uncharacterized. NCBI's taxonomy places the organism in Eukaryota, Viridiplantae, Streptophyta, Magnoliopsida, Fabales, Fabaceae. The record is from RefSeq and is a predicted model, not a curated record.
AUAAAUGCAUGAAUGAGAGAGAGAGAGAGAGAGAGAGUGUUUGGUGAAUCCAAUAAAUAGAGGGAAGGGAAGGGAAUGGUUCUGUUCUUUCUCUCUCCCUUCCUCCACUAAGAUCCAACUUCCAAGAACUAUGGUGAUCUGAUCAUCACUCUCAUGGAAUUGAAGUAAAGCUGCAUCCAAUUCUCCCAAUUCAUAUACAUUGCCUUUGACGUGGAUUCACCUCGCACCUUCUAAAGGCAAUGGACCCUCCAAUUCCAAUUAGGCCUCGUAUCUUUAUUAUUAUUUGUGCCGUGUAGUGAAUGGUAAAAUGUAAUGUAAUAUAAUUUCAUGUAAUGCAAGAAAAAAAAUUCACUUUAUAAGGUGAUCCAAGUAAUUGCUAUCAUUCCAAUUUUGCUUUGAA